UUAAAAUGUCCGCCAAAAGACAAGCCACAACUCAACUCAAUAAAGAUAAUUGGGAUCAAGAUCCUACUUCAAAUAGUGAUAAUGACGAUACUGUAAAUGUUCAAAACAAAGAUUUAAUAUCCAAAAGAAAAAUUUUAGUUGCAAAGAGAAGAAGUGGUGGAUCUUCUAGUUAUGUAGCACCCCAAAAAGGCCUUGACACUUUGUCUAAAACCUAUUUUAAUAGUCAUAUAAAUGAACACAAACAAAAUGAUAAUAUACAUCAACCAUUUUCAAAUGGAUUUAAUCCCAGUGAUACAAGGUCAAUUAAAGUUCAAAAUUUACAUCCUAGACAAUCUUUUUCAGAUACAUCAUCAUUUGCAUCUACAAAACCAUUGCCUAGUAAGAUGUCCAUAAGUAUUCCCCCCAAUAAUUUUAAUUUAGCAACUCUUAAAGAUACAAAAGAUUCUUAUAAAUCUUUAAAAUUUGUCACAAAUUAUAAACCUGGUGAAAUCAUGCAAACAUUUAGGUUCAAUUCCCAACAGCCUAUCAUUUCAAAUACAUCAGUGGUUUCCAAAUCACUGCCCACAUUUCAAUUAAGCAACCACGAUUCUCAAAAUUUGAACUUUAAAAAUAGUUUUGUUAAACCUUAUGAUAAUGGUCUAAAUAAUAACUUUAAUUCAAAUUUUAUACCAAGUAAUCUUACAUCCACAUCUCCCAAAGAUUCAUUGGAUGAUCAAAGUAAUGUAAAGUCAGAAGCUCUAUAUUAUUCAUGUGUCACCAAGCUUAACUCCUCAGUCUCUAAAUGGAUAUCUGCGGUUAUUCAAAUACACCCAACUGGUGAUCUUACACUCAUAUUUGAAAAAUAUAAAAGCUAUCUUGAAAAAUUAAGGUUUGAUUUUGAUGUACAUGUUGUUUCCUUAGAUGAAGACAAUAUCAAUCACAGACAUGAAAAUAAUAAUAACUCGCCUCAAAGUCAAGACUUUAAUAACCUUGACCAACUAUCGUACAAAUUCCAGCCAGAGGCGUCCAUCAUUAAAAUAGAUGGCAAUCAUGUUGACCACUCUGAGCGUGGUACAAAAAAUGAUAGUCCUAAAAAGCCUUCCACAGAAUCUAAAAUCGAAUUUCCUCCUCCUUUCAGCUUUUUUGGCAAAAACGAACCUUCUACUCUUCAAAAUAGUAUUGGAUUCCAUUUAACAAACAAUAAAGAUGGAACCACCAGCAAUUUAGCGCCAUCUAUUGACAACAAACCAUUUACUUUUGGUUUUCACCAGGAUGAUAGUUAUCAAGGUGAGGGAACUGAUACUAUCGAUAAUCAUCCUAUGACCUCAAAUCUUGAUGAACAAGGUGACGUCAUUGUGCCAAAUGUUCAAUCAGAAGAACCCAUUUGGCAAGAGGACAAUUGUCUUAUCACUCUGAAAUGCAAACUUUACAGAAAAGAUGCUUUCUCGCAAUUCAAAGACGUUGGUUUGGGUUUUUGUUACCUAAAACAAAACCGAAAACUUCAAUUACUUGUAAGGGCCUCGAAUGCGUCUGGGACCAUAUUGCUUAACGCCACCGUCACAAAAGGGAAGACGCCGGUCACAUUGUCAGAUCAAAUGGAUCAAUCAACUAUGAAGAGAAUUGUUAACCUAGACAUCAAACUACGGAGCUAUCAUGUAUAAUGGAAAUGAUUACUAAAAUUGGGAUAUAAUGACUUACAAAUUAUUCUAAAUACACAGACACGAUUGAUUUUAGCUACUGGAAUAUAGACAACUAGAUAAAAAAUAUUUCUGGAAUGAUGACAAAGUCGAAUCACAUACUAAACCGUUUUUUUAAAAGAUUUGGAGGGAGCAAGGCAAGAUAAGAUUUUACAACCAAAAUAACUAUCAUUUAUCAAGACGAAACUAUGAAAGAUUUUAUGAACUAAAUAGAUAAAACGUACAAAAGAUCAACGAAGGGGUUAACGAGCAAGAAUGACAUACAACUAAAUUAUAGACAGAGGGCAAAUAAAAAAAAAAGAAAAAAAAGUGUGAAAUGUUAAAUAAUAUUAACUUUAAAAAAUUAUUUUUUUUUAU
Molecule: RNA transcript, 2033 nt
Organism: Gordionus sp. m RMFG-2023
Lineage: Eukaryota; Metazoa; Nematomorpha; Gordioida; Chordodea; Parachordodidae
Gene name: nuclear pore complex protein Nup50-like
Exons: 8
Source: RefSeq, a predicted model, not a curated record